RNAcentral lists this long non-coding RNA (662 nucleotides) under Brassica rapa (field mustard). RNAcentral describes it as "long non-coding RNA (BRAP_LNC003631)". The record is from RNAcentral. Lineage: Eukaryota; Viridiplantae; Streptophyta; Magnoliopsida; Brassicales; Brassicaceae.
AAGGAUUGAAGAAGAUAAAGGAAGCAAGCUGGAUGCAGUGUAUAACAGCUGGGCGAUGCGGUAAGCAAGCUCGACCAGCUAGGUGAAGUGUAGUGCAGCUCGGUGUAGCUCACUGAAGUGUAGGUCAGCUCCAGCAGCUAGAAUACUAGCUCAGUCAGAUGGGACAUCUGGGGAUCAGCUCAACUUAGCUAGAUGGAGUGUUGGAAGCUCGGACCAUUGGGUCGGGUCCAGUGGGCACUUGGGAUCGGACCAGGGGCUUGGGCAACCAGCCUGGGCUUGUGUGUGAUGUGUCUAGGAGCAGUUAGGACUGCCAGGGACGUCUGGUAACCGCCAUAGGCAAAUGGGUGUGAUCUGGUCCAUUGAUUAAAUCAAUGGACAAUUAAUACCAAAGGGAUGCAAUGGUUAAGAAGUAACCAAUCCUUCUUCUAUGAAAGGAAAGCUAGUCCGUGUCUUUGCAGGCACGCCAUGACUUCUUCCCACACCCUGAAACAAAAAAAAAAGAGAAAAACAAAGAGAUGGUCGGAUUCAACAAUCCAAUACCAAGAGGCAUUCAAAGGCAACAAAUAGUCUGUUUUGGAGGGCAAUCAAUGGGGAAGUUAUGAAUGACCCUUUGAUGAGUUUUGAUUAUUGUUUGCCACACCAUAGGCUUCAUCUACAUCCAU